RNAcentral lists this long non-coding RNA (1257 nucleotides) under Betta splendens (Siamese fighting fish). RNAcentral's name for it is "lncRNA (ENSBSLG00000011515.1)". Lineage: Eukaryota; Metazoa; Chordata; Actinopteri; Anabantiformes; Osphronemidae. The record is from RNAcentral.
AUGAGGUUGUGGAAAACCACCCUUGAAGCCAAUGGGAAGCCACUUGCCCAAGUAUCCAUCAAAUGUGGCAUAUACCAAGGAGAUGCACUGUCCCCACUGCUGUUCUGCAUAGGUCUGAACCCCCUCAGCCAAAUAAUAAACAAGACUGGCUAUGGAUACCGACUCCAGAACGGGGCCACCAUAAGUCACCUCCUCUACAUGGAUGACAUCAAGCUGUACGCCAAGAGUGAGCGAGACAUCGACUCGCUGAUCCACACCACCAGGAUCUACAGCUCGGACAUCGGGAUGUCAUUCGGACUCGAGAAAUGUGGGAGGAUGGUGACAAAGAGAGGCAAGGUAAUCCACACAGAAGGGGUCUCACUCCCAGAAGGAACAAUAGCAGACAUUGAGGACAAUUACAAGUACCUUGGAAUACCACAGGCAAACGGCAACCUUGAACAGGCAACAAGGAAUGCGGCAACAGCCAAAUACCUCCAACGAGUAAGGCAAGUCCUAAGAAGCCAGCUCAAUGGCAAGAACAAAUCCCGGGCAAUAAACAGCUACGCUCUGCCAGUGAUCAGAUACCCUGCAGGAAUAAUAAGGUGGCCAAAGGAAGAGAUACAGACCACAGAUGUUAAGACACGAAAGCUCCUCACCAUGCAUGGAGGGUUCCACCCCAAAUCCAGCACCCUGAGACUGUACGCUAGCCGCAAAGAAGGAGGCAGAGGACUAGUGAGCGUGAGAGCCACUAUCCAGGAUGAAACAUCCAAGAUCCAUAAGUACAUCAAGGAUAAGGCCCCGACAAAUGACGUGCUGAGUGAAUGUCUCAGGCAGUGGAGAACAGAGGAUGAGAUGCUGGAAGAGGGACCACCAUGGGAGGACAAGCCCUUGCACGGGAUGUACCACCGGAACAUAACUGAAGUGGCUGAUCUCAACAAAUCCUACCAAUGGCUUGAAAGGGCUGGGCUGAAGGACAGCACAGAGGCACUCAUCCUGGCCGCACAGGAGCAGGCCCUGAGCCCUAGAGCCAUAGAAGCCCAGACCUACCACACCAGACAAGACCCAAGGUGUAGACUGUGCAAAGAGGCCCCAGAGACGGUCCAGCACAUAACUGCAGGGUGUAGGAUGCUGGCAGGCAAAGCAUACAUGGAACGCCAUAACCAAGUGGCUGGCAUAGUAUACAGGAACAUCUGCGCGGAGUAUGGACUGGAAACCCCAAGGUCAAAGUGGGAAACACCUCCCAAGGUGGUAGAGAACGAGCGAGCCAAGAUCCUGUAG